RNAcentral lists this transfer RNA (72 nucleotides) under Hordeum vulgare. RNAcentral's name for it is "tRNA-OTHER". Lineage: Eukaryota; Viridiplantae; Streptophyta; Magnoliopsida; Poales; Poaceae. The record is from RNAcentral.
UCGCCCGUAGCCUAGUGGUAGCGCGCCCUUGCUUCGACCGAGAGGGCGUGGGUUCGAAUCCCCCUCUGCAUA